UAUGUAUCGUUAAUGGAGUGAAUGAUUUAACAAGUCGGCUAGUUUCGCAGGGUCAACUAUAUUCAUACAAUCGAUUAAUCAUCGUUUGACAGUUAAAUGAACGGUUCGCGAGGAUUAGUCUCGAUAUUCGGUAUACGGUUCUAGUCGACAAUGUCCGCCUUCGAGAUUGGCGAUCGCAGCGCCGCGUUAUGGUGUCGAAACGGCCACGUUUGUUUUCUAACCUGAGUCGCCGCCGGUUAUCGUGCACUGUGCAAUUUCCCGUGUAUCAUUAAUAUCGGAACUCGUAGCGGCUGCUUGCAAAUUAAACCAUUUAAUGCACGCAUUGGACACCGUUAGAGUCAACUUCGAUACUCCGUGAAUGCUAACUAGAUCUGUUCAACGGUUUCUCGUUCGCUCGUUACGCUCACCGGUUAACCGUGCAAUUCCGUGCGUAUCGAUAUUAGAAAAUGUGUAUCAAUACUCGAAAUCGUCGACAGUGAUGCCACAGGAUAAUGACAGAGAAAACCGGUAGCCAUAAUAAAUGACAAAGUAACCAGUCUGUCCGAACGAGUUUUCAAUGACCGUUAAUUACGGCAACGUAGGAUAAAUGAGACACAUACUGAACGUAACAUAAAAUAUAGCUUGAUUCGACAACCUAUUUUCCAUUGUCCUCAAAAUGAAGCGUACGAUAACGCGGGAGGAAGAACGACUCGUGUGACUGGCAACGGCGGCUCCCCAUGCGACGUUCUGCGGAAAUUGUCGAGACAGGAAUUCUGGAAGUUGUGCACAGGCUGUUUCUGCGAAAAGCCAAACUCAUAGCUCUGCAGGUACAAUCUUCUAUAUGAUUAUAUGAUUAUAUUAUUCGAGAUGAAUGGCCAACAUGGCCAAAAAUUAUUAAAUUCUUUGAAUCGU
Apis dorsata (giant honeybee) is the source of this 891-nucleotide long non-coding RNA. RefSeq lists it as uncharacterized. Lineage: Eukaryota; Metazoa; Arthropoda; Insecta; Hymenoptera; Apidae. The transcript has 3 exons. The record is from RefSeq and is a predicted model, not a curated record.